This is a small nucleolar RNA of Cornus florida, 127 nucleotides long. Lineage: Eukaryota; Viridiplantae; Streptophyta; Magnoliopsida; Cornales; Cornaceae. The record is from RefSeq and is a predicted model, not a curated record.
GAGCAAGGGCGUCUGAUUAGGUGACGAAACACUUGCAUUGAAAGUUGGCGACAUGUAAAAUCGAUUCUCCGUGCCUUCCAAAUAUGAAUCACGAUUUUGGUUACGGCCUCGAACAAAUCGCUACAUU